RNAcentral lists this ribosomal RNA (383 nucleotides) under uncultured bacterium. RNAcentral's name for it is "bacterial SSU rRNA". It matches the Rfam family "Bacterial small subunit ribosomal RNA", at positions 30 to 414 of the family's 1533-position model. The record is from RNAcentral.
AUUGAACGCUGGCGGCAUGCCUUACACAUGCAAGUCGAACGGCAGCGGGCCUUCGGGUGCCGGCGAGUGGCGAACGGGUGAGUAAUGCAUCGGAACGUGCCAUUGAGUGGGGGAUAACGUAGCGAAAGUUGCGCUAAUACCGCAUAUUCUGUGAGCAGGAAAGCAGGGGACCGCAAGGCCUUGCGCUCUUUGAGCGGCCGAUGUCAGAUUAGCUAGUUGGUGAGGUAAAGGCUUACCAAGGCGACGAUCUGUAGCGGGUCUGAGAGGAUGAUCCGCCACACUGGAACUGAGACACGGUCCAGACUCCUACGGGAGGCAGCAGUGGGGAAUUUUUGGACAAUGGGGGCAACCCUGAUCCAGCCAUGCCGCGUGAGUGAAGAAGG